Molecule: ribosomal RNA, 429 nt
Filed under: Bacteroidota bacterium
Lineage: Bacteria; Pseudomonadati; Bacteroidota
Description: Bacteroidetes bacterium partial 16S ribosomal RNA
Rfam family: Bacterial small subunit ribosomal RNA
Source: RNAcentral
UAGGGAAUCUUCCGCAAUGGACGCAAGUCUGACGGAGCAACGCCGCGUGAGUGAAGAAGGAUUUCGGUUCGUAAAACUCUGUUGUUAGAGAAGAACAGCGCAUAGAGUAACUGUUAUGCGUGUGACGGUAUCUAACCAGAAAGCCACGGCUAACUACGUGCCAGCAGCCGCGGUAAUACGUAGGUGGCAAGCGUUGUCCGGAUUUAUUGGGCGUAAAGCGAGCGCAGGCGGUCAAUUAAGUCUGAUGUGAAAGCCCCCGGCUCAACCGGGGAGGGUCAUUGGAAACUGGUUAACUUGAGUGCAGAAGAGGAGAGUGGAAUUCCAUGUGUAGCGGUGAAAUGCGUAGCUAUAUGGAGGAACACCAGUGGCGAAGGCGACUCUCUGGUCUGUAACUGACGCUGAGGCUCGAAAGCGUGGGUAGCAAACAGG